Molecule: ribosomal RNA, 461 nt
Filed under: uncultured bacterium
Lineage: Bacteria
Description: partial 16S ribosomal RNA
Rfam family: Bacterial small subunit ribosomal RNA
Source: RNAcentral
CCUACGGGAGGCAGCAGUGAGGAAUAUUGGUCAAUGGGCUUACGCCUGAAGCAGCCAAGUCGCGUGAGGGAAGACUGCCCUAUGGGUUGUAAACCUCGUUUUUCAGGGAGCAACGCCGGCUACGUGUCGCCGCACUGAGAGUACCUGAAUAAACAGCAUCGGCUAACUCCGUGCCAGCAGCCGCGGUAAGACGUAGGAUCCGAGCGUUAUCCGGAAUUACUGGGUGUAAAGGGAGCGUAGGCGGCGAAUUAAGUCAGAAGUGAAAACCCAGGGCUCAACCUUGGGACGGCAUUUGAAACUGAGUAGCUUGAGUGCAGGAGAGGAAAGCGGAAUUCCUAGUGUAGCGGUGAAAUGCGUAGAUAUUAGGAGGAACACCAGUGGCGAAGGCGGCUUACUGGACUGUAACUGACGUUGAGGCUCGAAAGCGUGGGGAGCAAACAGGAUUAGAUACCCGAGUAGUC